This 313-nucleotide ribosomal RNA is filed under the name uncultured eukaryote. RNAcentral describes it as "partial 18S ribosomal RNA". It matches the Rfam family "Eukaryotic small subunit ribosomal RNA", at positions 1470 to 1796 of the family's 1831-position model. The record is from RNAcentral.
CCCUUAGAUGUUCUGGGCUGCACGCGCGCUACACUGGUGCGUUCAGCGAGUUUAGCACCUUAACAGAUAUGUUUGGGUAAUCUUCUGAAAACGCACCGUGAUGGGGAUCGAUUAUUGUAAUUAUUAAUCGUCAACGAGGAAUUCCUAGUAAGUAUGUGUCAUCAUCACGCACUGAUUACGUCCCUGCCCUUUGUACACACCGCCCGUCGCUCCUACCGAUUGGGUGAGCCGAUGAAACUCUCGGAUGUAGGCUAUUCAUAGCCCGCAGAAGAGAUUUGAAUCGUAGCGCUUAGAGGAAGGAGAAGUCGUAACA